This is a long non-coding RNA of Hemicordylus capensis (graceful crag lizard), 1309 nucleotides long. RefSeq lists it as uncharacterized. The transcript has 3 exons. Lineage: Eukaryota; Metazoa; Chordata; Lepidosauria; Squamata; Cordylidae. The record is from RefSeq and is a predicted model, not a curated record.
GAGAAGGGUUAAGAGGCAGUUGGUGGGGAAGGAGAGAAGAGAAGGUGCCUCUCUCCCUGGGGCCUUGCUCAGCUGGAGCUGUGGAGGUCAUUUGGAGGCCUAUGGAGUAUAACAGCCCCAAGGACACAGGACAAAAUAAUGCCUCUCGGAAAGAUGCUACAAGAUGAUGCAGCGCCCUCCUGAGGAGAAUUCUGAGGGCGGGUUCUAACACGAAGAGGAGUGUCCCAGCCACCGGAAGAUACUCUCGUGAGAGCACAGUUCCUCAUGACUGGAAGGAUGCAAACCUAGGACAGCAAAUCAUGGAAAAAUCUAGCAAGCUGUUGCCUCAGAAGGUAAUUCUAUAGCGUCUCUCUAGCAGGGAUGAUUACACUCUUCAAACACACCUAUGCAGGGUCAGGGCAGGUCUUUAUCAAAUUCUGUGUUCCCAUCAGAGUGGAGAGGGACUAGGUCAGAACAGUGAAUCAUACAGAGUCAAGAGAACCUCCUCCUCUGCAUGUCGGUUCUCUGGCCUUACAGGAGCCUUUAAUUAAUUCAUUUCCCAUGGCUCAUUGCUGCCAUGGCUUAUUGUGUCAUUCUCACGGCACACAGUUUGGGAAUUAUUGGCCUGACCUAGAAGCUGCAGUUGAAACUUAUUUCACAGAAAACAACAAAAUAAUACUUUCAGCUAGGAUAUAUCAUUUAAAGGACCAAUUUUAGUUCUAGAGACGAGACUGUGAUUUUUAAAAUAUAUAUAUUAAAAAAUCUUAAACUGUCUGUUUAAAUGACAACUGUUGGCUGAUAUUUGUCUUGUUACCUUGUGAUGCUGAAAAUAGCUCAUGUAAAUAUGUUCUUGGAAUGUGGAGGUGGAUCAAACCAAAGCAAGAUAAAAGAGAAGCUGGACACAUUUUAGUUCCUGUGGGCUGAAGUGAGUCAUUGCAUUCUGCAUAUUCUUAUUCAUUAGACUGGGAGGAUGCUCUGAUCUUAUUCACUGUUAGCUUGAUGUGUAUUCCAACCAGAGAAUGAAAUCUGGGCACCACAGUUCUUUGAUUUCUCAUACAAGGAAAGAAAACAAAACCACCUGGUUGCCCCAGAAUGUUGCAUGGUGUGAAGGAAUGACCUCUUCCCACUUUGUUUUAUGGAUUGUAAUUUGUGUUUUGUUCUUUGUCCACUCAUUAUAUAUAACACACAUAUAUAUACAUAUAUAAUUACUAUUUGUAUCCUGCAUAUAGAGGAGGUUUUUAAGACGGAUAUGUUCUUGUUUGUAAUCCUAUAUGACUCUCAGAGAUGUAACCUUUUCUGGUUUUACUUAUAUUACUAAUAAAAGCAUUAU